This 2987-nucleotide ribosomal RNA is filed under the name Salmonella enterica. RNAcentral describes it as "bacterial LSU rRNA". It matches the Rfam family "Bacterial large subunit ribosomal RNA". Lineage: Bacteria; Pseudomonadati; Pseudomonadota; Gammaproteobacteria; Enterobacterales; Enterobacteriaceae. The record is from RNAcentral.
UUAAGCGACUAAGCGUACACGGUGGAUGCCCUGGCAGUCAGAGGCGAUGAAGGACGUGCUAAUCUGCGAUAAGCGCCGGUAAGGUGAUAUGAACCGUUAUAACCGGCGAUUUCCGAAUGGGGAAACCCAGUGUGAUUCGUCACACUAUCAUUAACUGAAUCCAUAGGUUAAUGAGGCGAACCGGGGGAACUGAAACAUCUAAGUACCCCGAGGAAAAGAAAUCAACCGAGAUUCCCCCAGUAGCGGCGAGCGAACGGGGAGGAGCCCAGAGCCUGAAUCAGCAUGUGUGUUAGUGGAAGCGUCUGGAAAGGCGCGCGAUACAGGGUGACAGCCCCGUACACAAAAGCGCAUGUGCUGUGAGCUCGAUGAGUAGGGCGGGACACGUGGUAUCCUGUCUGAAUAUGGGGGGACCAUCCUCCAAGGCUAAAUACUCCUGACUGACCGAUAGUGAACCAGUACCGUGAGGGAAAGGCGAAAAGAACCCCGGCGAGGGGAGUGAAAAAGAACCUGAAACCGUGUACGUACAAGCAGUGGGAGCACAGGUUUACCUGUGUGACUGCGUACCUUUUGUAUAAUGGGUCAGCGACUUAUAUUCUGUAGCAAGGUUAACCGUAUAGGGGAGCCGUAGGGAAACCGAGUCUUAACCGGGCGUUAAGUUGCAGGGUAUAGACCCGAAACCCGGUGAUCUAGCCAUGGGCAGGUUGAAGGUUGGGUAACACUAACUGGAGGACCGAACCGACUAAUGUUGAAAAAUUAGCGGAUGACCUGUGGCUGGGGGUGAAAGGCCAAUCAAACCGGGAGAUAGCUGGUUCUCCCCGAAAGCUAUUUAGGUAGCGCCUCGUGAAUUCAUCUCCGGGGGUAGAGCACUGUUUCGGCUAGGGGGCCAUCCCGGCUUACCAACCCGAUGCAAACUGCGAAUACCGGAGAAUGUUAUCACGGGAGACACACGGCGGGUGCUAACGUCCGUCGUGAAGAGGGAAACAACCCAGACCGCCAGCUAAGGUCCCAAAGUCAUGGUUAAGUGGGAAACGAUGUGGGAAGGCCCAGACAGCCAGGAUGUUGGCUUAGAAGCAGCCAUCAUUUAAAGAAAGCGUAAUAGCUCACUGGUCGAGUCGGCCUGCGCGGAAGAUGUAACGGGGCUAAACCAUGCACCGAAGCUGCGGCAGCGAACGUAUCACUUAAAGCGAUUCAGCGGGUUACGAUUGACGGAGCGAAGCGACGUCAAAGCGUAUACAAAGUCGAGUCGGUUUAAGGAUACGUUCGUUGGGUAGGGGAGCGUUCUGUAAGCCUGUGAAGGUGGCCUGUGAGGGUUGCUGGAGGUAUCAGAAGUGCGAAUGCUGACAUAAGUAACGAUAAAGCGGGUGAAAAGCCCGCUCGCCGGAAGACCAAGGGUUCCUGUCCAACGUUAAUCGGGGCAGGGUGAGUCGACCCCUAAGGCGAGGCCGAAAGGCGUAGUCGAUGGGAAACGGGUUAAUAUUCCCGUACUUGGUGUUACUGCGAAGGGGGGACGGAGAAGGCUAUGUUGGCCGGGCGACGGUUGUCCCGGUUUAAGCGUGUAGGUGUGUGUUCCAGGUAAAUCCGGUUCACUUUAACACUGAGGCGUGAUGACGAGGCACUACGGUGCUGAAGCAACAAAUGCCCUGCUUCCAGGAAAAGCCUCUAAGCAUCAGGUAACAUCAAAUCGUACCCCAAACCGACACAGGUGGUCAGGUAGAGAAUACCAAGGCGCUUGAGAGAACUCGGGUGAAGGAACUAGGCAAAAUGGUGCCGUAACUUCGGGAGAAGGCACGCUGACACGUAGGUGAAGUGAUUUACUCACGGAGCUGAAGUCAGUCGAAGAUACCAGCUGGCUGCAACUGUUUAUUAAAAACACAGCACUGUGCAAACACGAAAGUGGACGUAUACGGUGUGACGCCUGCCCGGUGCCGGAAGGUUAAUUGAUGGGGUCAGCGCAAGCGAAGCUCCUGAUCGAAGCCCCGGUAAACGGCGGCCGUAACUAUAACGGUCCUAAGGUAGCGAAAUUCCUUGUCGGGUAAGUUCCGACCUGCACGAAUGGCGUAAUGAUGGCCAGGCUGUCUCCACCCGAGACUCAGUGAAAUUGAACUCGCUGUGAAGAUGCAGUGUACCCGCGGCAAGACGGAAAGACCCCGUGAACCUUUACUAUAGCUUGACACUGAACAUUGAGCCUUGAUGUGUAGGAUAGGUGGGAGGCUUUGAAGCGUGGACGCCAGUCUGCGUGGAGCCGACCUUGAAAUACCACCCUUUAAUGUUUGAUGUUCUAACGUGGACCCGUAAUCCGGGUUGCGGACAGUGUCUGGUGGGUAGUUUGACUGGGGCGGUCUCCUCCUAAAGAGUAACGGAGGAGCACGAAGGUUGGCUAAUCCUGGUCGGACAUCAGGAGGUUAGUGCAAUGGCAUAAGCCAGCUUGACUGCGAGCGUGACGGCGCGAGCAGGUGCGAAAGCAGGUCAUAGUGAUCCGGUGGUUCUGAAUGGAAGGGCCAUCGCUCAACGGAUAAAAGGUACUCCGGGGAUAACAGGCUGAUACCGCCCAAGAGUUCAUAUCGACGGCGGUGUUUGGCACCUCGAUGUCGGCUCAUCACAUCCUGGGGCUGAAGUAGGUCCCAAGGGUAUGGCUGUUCGCCAUUUAAAGUGGUACGCGAGCUGGGUUUAGAACGUCGUGAGACAGUUCGGUCCCUAUCUGCCGUGGGCGCUGGAGAACUGAGGGGGGCUGCUCCUAGUACGAGAGGACCGGAGUGGACGCAUCACUGGUGUUCGGGUUGUCAUGCCAAUGGCACUGCCCGGUAGCUAAAUGCGGAAGAGAUAAGUGCUGAAAGCAUCUAAGCACGAAACUUGCCCCGAGAUGAGUUCUCCCUGAGACUUUAGGUCUCCUGAAGGAACGUUGAAGACGACGACGUUGAUAGGCCGGGUGUGUAAGCGCAGCGAUGCGUUGAGCUAACCGGUACUAAUGAACCGUGAGGCUUAACCUU